AUUGAACGCUGGCGGCAUGCCUUACACAUGCAAGUCGAACGGUAACAGGUCUUCGGAUGCUGACGAGUGGCGAACGGGUGAGUAAUACAUCGGAACGUGCCCAGACGUGGGGGAUAACGAGGCGAAAGCUUUGCUAAUACCGCAUACGAUCUAAGGAUGAAAGCAGGGGACCGCAAGGCCUUGCGCGUUUGGAGCGGCCGAUGGCAGAUUAGGUAGUUGGUGGGAUAAAAGCUUACCAAGCCGACGAUCUGUAGCUGGUCUGAGAGGACGACCAGCCACACUGGGACUGAGACACGGCCCAGACUCCUACGGGAGGCAGCAGUGGGGAAUUUUGGACAAUGGGCGAAAGCCUGAUCCAGCAAUGCCGCGUGCAGGAUGAAGGCCUUCGGGUUGUAAACUGCUUUUGUACGGAAAGAAAAGGCUCUGGCUAAUACCUGGGGCACAUGACGGUACCGUAAGAAUAAGCACCGGCUAACUACGUG
RNAcentral lists this ribosomal RNA (482 nucleotides) under uncultured bacterium. Its description in RNAcentral is "partial 16S ribosomal RNA". It matches the Rfam family "Bacterial small subunit ribosomal RNA", at positions 30 to 507 of the family's 1533-position model. The record is from RNAcentral.